RNAcentral lists this long non-coding RNA (519 nucleotides) under Lathyrus oleraceus (garden pea). Its description in RNAcentral is "Pisum sativum (pea) long non-coding RNA (PSAT_LNC041065)". The record is from RNAcentral. Lineage: Eukaryota; Viridiplantae; Streptophyta; Magnoliopsida; Fabales; Fabaceae.
GAUGAAUGGGAAGAAAGAAACCACGACCAAACAUCUCUCGAUGAAUGGGAAGAAAGAAACCACGACCAGACAUCAACAGAUGAAUGGGAAGAAAGAAACCACGACCAGACAUCUCUCGGAUGAAUGGGUAGAAAGACACCACGACCAGACAUCUCUCGAUGAAUGGGAAGAAAGAAACCACGACCAGACAUCAACGGAUGAAUGGGAAGAAAGAAACCACGACCAGACAUCUCUCGAUGAAUAGAAAGAAAGAAACCACGACCAGACAUCUCUCGAUUAAUGGGAAGAAAGAAACCACGACCAGAUAUCAACGGAUGAAUGGGAAGAAAGAAACCACGACCAGACAUCUCUGGAUGAAUGGAAAGAAAGAAACCACGACCAGACAUCUGUCGAUGAAUGGGAAGAAAGAAACCCCGAUCAGACAUCACUCGAUGAAUGGAAAGAAAGAAACCACGACCAGACAUCUCUCGAUGAAUGGGAAGAAAGAAACCACGACCAGACAUCUCUCGGAUGAAUGGG